This 72-nucleotide transfer RNA is filed under the name Marmota monax (woodchuck). RNAcentral describes it as "tRNA.Ala". The record is from RNAcentral. Lineage: Eukaryota; Metazoa; Chordata; Mammalia; Rodentia; Sciuridae.
UGGGGAUGUAGCUCAGUGGUGUAGCAUUUGCCUAGCAUACCAGAGGACCUGGGUUCAAUCCCCAGUACCUAG